GACGAACGCUGGCGGCGUGCUUAACACAUGCAAGUCGAGCGGUAAGGCCCUUUCGGGGGUACGACGAGCGGCGAACGGGUGAGUAACACGUGGGUGACCUGCCCUCAGCUCUGGGAUAAGCCUGGGAAACCGGGUCUAAUACUGGAUAUGACUCCAUGACGCAUGUUGUGGGGUGGAAAGCCUUGUGCGGCUGAGGAUGGGCCCGCGGCCUAUCAGCUUGUUGGU
This 225-nucleotide ribosomal RNA is filed under the name uncultured bacterium. Its description in RNAcentral is "partial 16S ribosomal RNA". It matches the Rfam family "Bacterial small subunit ribosomal RNA", at positions 28 to 253 of the family's 1533-position model. The record is from RNAcentral.